This 107-nucleotide small nuclear RNA is filed under the name Cavia porcellus (domestic guinea pig). Lineage: Eukaryota; Metazoa; Chordata; Mammalia; Rodentia; Caviidae. The record is from RNAcentral.
GUGCUCAUUUUGGCAGUUUUAGAUAGAGAUACUACAAUGACACAGUGAAGACAUACAUGGCCUCUGUAUAAGAUGACACACUAAUUCAUGAAGCAUUUCAUAUUUUA